GGGCCAGUAAGCUCAGUGGGUUGAGUGCGGUGCUGACAACAAUGACAAACCCAAGGUUGCGGGUUCGAUUCCCGCUUGGUCCC
Molecule: transfer RNA, 83 nt
Filed under: Apaloderma vittatum (bar-tailed trogon)
Lineage: Eukaryota; Metazoa; Chordata; Aves; Trogoniformes; Trogonidae
Rfam family: tRNA
About the family: Transfer RNA (tRNA) molecules are approximately 80 nucleotides in length. Their secondary structure includes four short double-helical elements and three loops (D, anti-codon, and T loops).
Source: Rfam by way of RNAcentral